AAUAAGGUGUCUGAAUUUAUAGGUCGUAAAUUGUAAAUUUAUGUAUGGCUUUAAGCCCCUUAUUA
Molecule: transfer RNA, 65 nt
Filed under: Neuroctenus parus
Lineage: Eukaryota; Metazoa; Arthropoda; Insecta; Hemiptera; Aradidae
Description: tRNA-Tyr
Source: RNAcentral